Molecule: ribosomal RNA, 219 nt
Filed under: Triticum aestivum (bread wheat)
Lineage: Eukaryota; Viridiplantae; Streptophyta; Magnoliopsida; Poales; Poaceae
Description: partial small subunit ribosomal RNA
Source: RNAcentral
AUGGUGCAAGAUGGGCAUAGAGAAUUUCGAUGUGUGGCUUGGGCAUUUGGACCUUGUAUUGAAGUUGUUCCUCACAUUCGACCUGUAAUAAGUGUGGAUGCUUCAUUUCUAUCGGGAAGGUACAAGGGAAGGUUGCUAAUGGCUUGUGGAUAUGAUGCUAAUAACCAACUAAUAUCUCUUGCAUUUUCCAUUCUGGAGAAAGAGGAUGCAUCAAACUAG